GGGGGUGACAGGCUUAGACAGAUAAACUAAUUUUUAUAUGUGCAAAGUCGAACUGAGUAAUUCGUAAAAAGGCUCAAUAAAGAUAAGUGCAAACUUGUCACAAAAAGCAAAGGCUGUGGUUUCACCAUAUUUCGCUUUUGCUCCAGCAUUAGCUUAGUCUAAACUGGCGGUCAAUUUCGCUGCUGUUUGAUAAGCAAAUUGAUUGUUAUAUUCUUCAAACUAGGAUUUAAGAAUGUUUCGGCUUAUUUCCGAAGUCAAGAAAAUCGGAUUUUUAAGGUUUUGUUUAUUUAAGAGCGUGUCCAAAAGCUUGCUUCUGAGGAUAUUUUACCAAAUUUUGAUCGAGAUGAAAUAAAAAAUUUUAAGGAAUAUUAAUAUAUUUCGAGAAAUUUUUUACAAAUCUUCGGGCGAAAUUUGGAGAAAUAGAGCCAGAAUGAAGUUUCUGGACACGCUCAUACUUAAUAAUCUUAAACACCAAACAAAUAAAAUAUACUUUGUAGACUCAUUUAAAAACUUUAUUUGGACGCGAGUUCAACUCUCGCCACUUCCACAA
This 550-nucleotide transfer-messenger RNA is filed under the name Patescibacteria group bacterium. It matches the Rfam family "transfer-messenger RNA". From Rfam's summary of the family: Bacterial tmRNA, also known as 10Sa RNA or SsrA, is named for its dual tRNA and mRNA-like properties. The record is from RNAcentral.